This 2747-nucleotide long non-coding RNA is filed under the name Pan troglodytes (chimpanzee). RNAcentral describes it as "lincRNA". Lineage: Eukaryota; Metazoa; Chordata; Mammalia; Primates; Hominidae. The record is from RNAcentral.
GGCAAGGGCGGAGUUAGUUAGGUUUCCUUUUCCUGAGUGUGACGCGCCUUAGUGGGCACGCAUGCUAGCCGGGAUGGUGGGAACGGGGGGAAGAUGAACCCGGAAAUGCUGAGUCAGGGUGGCCAAGAUGGUUGCCUGUCGCCAUCUUGGGGCCUUCACCAGAGUCCAAACAAAAAGCUAAGCUAGGGCCUGGUUCUGCUCCCAGUCUAGCAUUGGAACCACUUCUAGGAACGUUUCUUGCUGAGUCAGCUUGUCAUACAGAUCCUAGUCUACAUUUUGAACCUUACUUUUGAGGUGAAAAGCUCAGCUAGGUCCUGAUUCUGGUCCCAGUCUAGCAUUGGAACCACUUCUAGGAAUGUUUCUUGCUGAGUCAGCUUGUCAUACAGAUCCUGGUCUACAUUUAGAACCUUGCUUUUGAGGUGAAAAGUGAAAGGCAAUGGAAGAGUUCCGUAGACAAAAAGGGUCGAGAGGCAGGGCAAAGAAUGCAAAAGUUCCUUUAUUAAGCUCUUGGGCGAGGUUCACUGGUCCGCCGGGAAAGGCUGGGGAAGUCGCACUGUGUUGGAGGUGCAGCAUGCUUAUAUGGACACUAGGUGAGUUAGGGGCGGAUUCGGGGUGGGGCAAGGGCGGAGCUAGUUAGGUUUUAUUUUCCUGAGUGUGACCCGCCUUAGCGGGCACGCGUUCUUGCCGGGAUGGCGGGAACGGGGGGAAGAUGAACCCGCUAAUGCUGAGUCAGGGUGGCCAAGAUGGUUGCCUGUCGCCAUCUUGGGGCCUUCACCGGAGUCCAAACAAAAAGCUAAGCUAGGGCCUGGUUCUGGUCCCUGUCUAGCAUUGGAACCACUUCUAGGAACGUUUCUUGCUGAGUCAGCUUGUUAUACAGAUCCUGGUCUACAUUUUCAACCUACUUUUGAGGUGAAAAGCUAAGCUAGGGCCUGGUUCUGGUCCUAGUCUUGCAUUGGAACCACUUCUAGGAACGUUUCUUGCUGAGUCAGCUUGUCAUACAGAUCCUGAUGUGCAGCAGCAAAUUGCUCUGGCUCCAGGGGCAGGUCUCCAGCUGAAUGUGUGCCUAGGAAUGGAAUCAAAGCCUCAUCAAAAUCUCAGUCAGUUCCUGAGGCAGAAGAGAUGGGUGUGUCUUAUCCAAGAUUUCUCUGGCUCCAGGGGCAGGUCUCCAGCUGAAUCUGUGCCUACAAAUGGAAUCAAAGUCUCAUCAAAGUCUCAGUUCCCGAGGCAGAAGAGAUGGGUGUGUCUUAUCCAAGAUUUCUCUGGCUCCAGGGGCAGGUCUCCAGCUGAAUCUGUGCCUACAAAUGGAAUCAAAGUCUCAUCAAAGUCUCAGUUCCUGAGGCAGAAGAGAUGGGUGUGUCUUAUCCAAGAUUUCUCUGGCUCCAGGGGCAAGUCUCCAGCUGAAUCUGUGCCUACAAUGCAAACAAAGUCUCAUCAAAGUCUCAGUUCCUGAGGCAGAAGAGAUGGGUGUGUCUUAUCCAAGAUUUCUCUGGCUCCAGGGGCAGGUCUCCAGCAGAAUCUGUGCCUACAAAUGGAAUCAAAGUCUCAUCAAAGUCUCAGUCAGUUCCUGAGGCAGAAGAGGUGGGUGUGUCUUAUCCAAGAUUUCUCUUAUGGAACAAAGUUACAUCAAAGCCAAUUUAAAAGCCUAUGUAAAAAAAAUUAUUAUUAUUGAUGCAAUGUAUACAAAUAUAUAGACCAAUAUAAUAAGUUAACUAUUCCUACCAUGAUUUGUCUUUAGUAAAAUGGGAAACUGGAGAAAAACUUAUGUUUCCAAAUGAUUAUAUAUCUGUGUUAGAUUCUAGUCUUGCCUAAUUUUUUUUCAAUUUGGAUUACUUUCUACAGUUUGGACCAAAUUCUAAUUUUUUUUAUUACAAGUCUCCAAAAUAAUUUUUAAAUUUUUUUCCUUCUUUUUUCCAUUUUUCCUAAUUUGGAGUCACCGAAAACUAAGCUGUGCUUUCUUAAAAUCCUGUGAACUGAAGCCAGACAACUUAAACUUCAGAAGAAAAUAACAGCAACCUAUUUACAUACAUAAACCACUUUCAUACCUGCCUACUGAUGCAUAGACUUCAGAGUAAUGUGGCCUAUAUCAAAUGUUUCCCGGAUUGUUCUUUUGUUUGUUGUUGUUUUCUCUCUCUUCCUCCCACUAUUUUCUCUUCACAGGACAUGAGACUUAACAACCUGCUAAAAAUGAGCUUUUGGGACCUACCCAUCAAGGAAUAAACUGUCCUCGCCAUGAGAGAUCAAAUGAAACCUGAGACCAGAGACUUAUUUUCUUGUAAAAUGCUUUCUCCAACAGGUUUUUAAAAAGAAAAGGGUGGAAAUGUGAAAGGAAAAUAUCUGUGGUCCCCAAAAUCACGAAGGAAAAGUCAAGCCGGGAACUGCUUAGGGCAAACCUGCCUCCCAUUCUAUUCAAAGUCACUCCUCUGCCCAAUCAGAUAGAUGCUUAUCUGAUUUGCCUCCUUUGGAAAGGCUGAUCAGAAACUCAAAAGAAUGGAACCAUUUGUGUAUCAGCCAUCUGUGACCUGGAAGCUUCCUCCCCACUUCAGUCUUCCUGCCUUUGCUUCAAGUUGUCCUGUCUUUCCAGAUGAAGCAAUGUACUUCUUAACAUAUAUUGACUGAUGUCUCAUGAUGUCUCCCUAAAUGUAUGAAACCAAGCUGUGCCUGACAACCUUGGGCAUAUUUUGUCAAGACUUCCCUGAGGCUGUCAUUGGUGCAUCCUCAACCUUGGCAAAAUAAACUUUCUAAAUUAA